RNAcentral lists this ribosomal RNA (253 nucleotides) under uncultured bacterium. RNAcentral describes it as "partial 16S ribosomal RNA". It matches the Rfam family "Bacterial small subunit ribosomal RNA", at positions 524 to 776 of the family's 1533-position model. The record is from RNAcentral.
UACGUAGGUGGCAAGCGUUGUCCGGAUUUACUGGGCGUAAAGGGCGCGUAGGCGGCUCGGCAAGUCAGGAGUGAAAGGCCUGGGCUCAACCGAGGAACUGCUUUUGAGACUGCCGAGCUAGAGUGCAGAAGGGGCAACUGGAAUUCCCAGUGUAGCGGUGAAAUGCGUAGAUAUUGGGAAGAACACCUGAGGCGAAGGCGGGUUGCUGGGCUGACACUGACGCUGAGGCGCGAAAGCGUGGGGAGCGAACAGG